This 485-nucleotide ribosomal RNA is filed under the name uncultured bacterium. RNAcentral's name for it is "partial 16S ribosomal RNA". It matches the Rfam family "Bacterial small subunit ribosomal RNA", at positions 29 to 523 of the family's 1533-position model. The record is from RNAcentral.
AGUGAACGCUGGCGGCGUGCUUAACACAUGCAAGUCGAACGAGAACGGAAUAUAGCUUGCUAUAUUUGUCAGCUAAGUGGCGCACGGGUGAGUAAUGUAUAGAUAACCUGCCCUUAAGAAAGGAAUAACAGUUGGAAACGACUGCUAAUGCCCUAUAUGCCUUUAAUACAUAAGUAUGCAAGGGAAACGCUUUAGUGCUUAAGGAUGGGUCUGUAUGGUAUCAGCUUGUUGGUGAGGUAAUGGCUCACCAAGGCUAUGACGCCUAACUGGUUUGAGAGGAUGAUCAGUCACACUGGAACUGAGACACGGUCCAGACUCCUACGGGAGGCAGUAGUGGGGAAUAUUGCACAAUGGACGAAGGUCUGAUGCAGCAACGCCGCGUGGAGGAUGACACAUUUCGGUGCGUAAACUCCUUUUAUAUAGGAAGAUAAUGACGGUACUAUAUGAAUAAGCACCGGCUAACUCCGUGCCAGCAGCCGCAGUAA